Molecule: long non-coding RNA, 734 nt
Filed under: Homo sapiens (human)
Lineage: Eukaryota; Metazoa; Chordata; Mammalia; Primates; Hominidae
Description: HSALNT0101494
Source: RNAcentral
AGGCUUGCAGCUAGAGGUGACCAUGUCAUGUAGCAAAUAGAUGUAAAUAGUGAUGUAGGUACCCAGUGAGAUAUAGGAUAUAAGUAGGUGUCUGCUUAUAUCCUAUGAAGGGGUGGAGAAUUCCGGAAAAUGUUUACUUUCCUGAUAAAAGGAGACACACGUUUUAACCAUUUUUUCCUUCUCUCUUCCUUGAAUGCAACUGUGAUAUCGAAAACAUGACAACCAUGUUGUGACCAUGAGAUGACAAGCAGGGGACAAAAUCCAUGUGCUAAAGACGGCCAAACGCAUCUGGGAAGACACUACUGAGCAACCGAGUUGACUCCAGCAGUGACUGACCCUCCCCUCCCGAUUUCCUGGCAUGUGAGAAAAACGCCACCCACUCUCUAUUUAGUUAGGAAAACUGCUCUACCUGGCUUUAGGGGCAUCUGUAACUUGGUGCCAUCCUGGAUGGUCACUCAUUUCUCACCACUCCCAAAUGUCAUUUGUGCUUUAGUUUCUAUUCCAAGCACAGUGUGAUGGAAAGAACCAUAAAAAUAAAAAGAAACAAAAAAAAGGAAGCAUAUCUUAACUGUCACAGAAGAUCCAGUUUAGCCUCAGAUAGACCUGGAUUCCAAUUCCAGCUCUGUGGGACCUGGAGCAAGUGACUUGAAAAUCUCUUCAAGCCUCAAUUUCUUCAUCUGUAAAAACUUGAGAAUAAUAGUUCUAUACAGUGUUGUGAUGAGUACGAAAUAAAA